AGUGUUGAAAGCUUGCACGUCGGAAACACGCAGCCGGACUGCCACGUGUCCUGAGUCGAGGUGGCGGCGGACUUCCACCUGAGGCUGCUGCUGAUGGCGCGGACGCUGCGCGCGGCCUGGGUGCCGAGCCCGGGCAGCCGGCCCGCUGAGCCUGAGCUGCGGCGGGAAAACAACCACAUUCCCAGGAUUUGGGGCGGGGAGUUAGGUUUACGUUAAGAGCAGGAGGCGUUUAUUACUAAAGCGAAUCUUUCUCCCGUCGCCAGACCGAACGGUUACUUCAGUGGGCAGCUCCCGACAAUGCAUGAGACUGAGUUGUACUGUGCCCAGAUGGCGCUGUGUCCAGAUCGGAUUAAUGAAGGGGACGGUUUUAGUACUGAAAAUCUUGCACUGUGACGUACGAUGAGAAUGCUUUAUUUUAAAUAUGUUGAUCCACCGCAGGAACAAUGGCUCUCAGUGUAACGGAGCUGUUACGUGGAGAUGCUAAGAUGCAAAGGAAAAUUUCAAAACAUACGAGAGAGUAUUUGCUGGAAAAUUACUUGGUUAAAACCUGACAAUCUUACCAGCAUCCUGGGGCUUGAUAAAUACUAGUGAAGCUAUGGGUGUCAUUGACCAGCAGCUUCAUUUUGAAUGAGGGGUCGCUGUCAGCCCAUUGAAAAAGGCCAGUUUGCUGUGAAGUUCCUCAGGUGUAACCAUUUCUGGCUAGUACCAUGAGAUUUACUUGUCAUAUGAAAAACUGGUGAUCAGGAAAAGCUCUUCAUUUUACGGACAUGGAAAGAAAACAUACAAAUCAAGACGGGUUAUAUUGAUUUUUAAUUUUUUAAAUAGAUUCCGAACCAACAUCGAAUCUAGAUUAAUGUAUCCAUAAGAUUCAAGCCAUUUCUAUUUAAUCAUGUCACACUAUCCAAGAGGGUCACAACCUGUAAACCAGUAGGUUACUUCCUAGAUCUAUUUAUACUUUGUAAGUACAGGAAUACCUGUGGUACUAAGUAUUUUUAAUAGAAAAUUCUUUUCCAGUUGCCCACCUUUGUAAUCAAAUUUUUCUGAAUGAACUGUUUUACCUUUGGUCACCUGUUUGAAUUUAAAAUGCAUAAUUGUAAUUAAAGCUGAGUGAAAGUUUA
Ceratotherium simum simum (southern white rhinoceros) is the source of this 1118-nucleotide long non-coding RNA. RefSeq lists it as uncharacterized. Lineage: Eukaryota; Metazoa; Chordata; Mammalia; Perissodactyla; Rhinocerotidae. The record is from RefSeq and is a predicted model, not a curated record.